RNAcentral lists this ribosomal RNA (565 nucleotides) under Rhizophagus sp. (in: glomeromycetes). Its description in RNAcentral is "SSU rRNA". It matches the Rfam family "Eukaryotic small subunit ribosomal RNA", at positions 548 to 1114 of the family's 1831-position model. Lineage: Eukaryota; Fungi; Glomeromycota; Glomeromycetes; Glomerales; Glomeraceae. The record is from RNAcentral.
UUGGAGGGCAAGUCUGGUGCCAGCAGCCGCGGUAAUUCCAGCUCCAAUAGCGUAUAUUAAAGUUGUUGCAGUUAAAAAGCUCGUAGUUGAAUUUCGGGGUUAGUAGGUUGGUCAUGCCUCCGGUAUGUACUGGUCUCACUGAUUCCUCCUUCCUGAUGAACCGUAAUGCCAUUAAUUUGGUGUUGCGGGGAAUUUGGACUGUUACUUUGAAAAAAUUAGAGUGUUUAAAGCAAGCUAACGCUUGAAUACAUUAGCAUGGAAUAAUGAAAUAGGACGUUCGAUCCUAUUUUGUUGGUUUCUAGGAUUGACGUAAUGAUUAAUAGGGAUAGUUGGGGGCAUUAGUAUUCAAUUGUCAGAGGUGAAAUUCUUGGAUUUAUUGAAGACUAACUACUGCGAAAGCAUUUGCCAAGGAUGUUUUCAUUAAUCAAGAACGAAAGUUAGGGGAUCGAAGACGAUCAGAUACCGUCGUAGUCUUAACCAUAAACUAUGCCGACUAGGGAUCGGAUGAUGUUAAUUUUUUAAUGACUCAUUCGGCGCCUUACGGGAAACCAAAGUGUUUGGGUUC